UUUACAUAAAUUCGACAAAAGCAAUCCGAAGAACGAGAUGGACAGAUUUAUAAUUCGAGAGCUGGCUGUAAUCCGUAUUCUUCAUCAUCCCAACAUCAUCAAGUUCAUAAAGACUAUCGAAACAAGCAAACGGUUCAAUGCAGAUGCCACCACCUCCAUUACAUGGUGCCCUGCAACCUAGUUCUGUGGCUCCACCAAUAAGACCACCUUCAUCAGGACCAUUACCAUUUCCACCUGGACAUCCUCCACCUCCACCUCCUCCUCCACCACCACCACCAUCAGGUGGUAUACCACCUCCACCGCCAGUACCUCCACCCGUGUCGAGUUAUGCAGGCAUGCCUCCACCUCCACCACCACCAACCGUUCCUCCUCCUCCACCACCUCCACCCAGUACUAGUUCUUCUCAGAUACCAGUACCUUCCAGUAAUGAACCCGGACCUGGUGAGAUGAUGCAACAAAGACAGGUAUCACCCGCUAUGCCACCACAACCUAUGGGAAUGCCGCCACCACCGCCCCCACCACCAUUCCAGGGAGGAGGUAUGCCUCCUCCGCCACCACCCGGAAUGCGACCACCCCCACAAAUGAGCAUGAACUUUGGACCCAGACCGCCACCUUUUGUUAAAUUAUAAGAAGAGAGAUUCCUCAUCAACGUCAACAUAUAUUUCGAAAUGCAAUCCGUUAUUCAGAAAAAUUUCAAUUCUGCGAGAAUAUUCAUUGCUAAUACAGAAGCUGAAGAAAGCGGCUCUGAAAUGUUUGAGAGCGAAUGGAAACCUUUACUAAAAUAUGUCUGAAGUAUUAAUUCAUCAAGAUGUCGGAAGUGUUAAUAGCAUCCGAAGUAUCCUGUAAUUAAAAAAGCUUCCAAAUUUCAAAUAGAUAAAAUUCAUACUUAAUACCUGGGCGAACAAAAAUUUCCGUGAAUUUUUCAUGAACCGUCGGUUUUGUUCCUCACUACUCGGACACUCACUUUGUGGGCCUGGCCUAUUCCAAGAUGAGUAAAUCAGUAUUAAAAAAAGGCCUUCUUAGUACCCAUAAAAAUAUAAUUAAAAAGAAAACGCAUUUCACACCCAUUUUAUUCUGACAACAAUAAUGAUGUAUAGGAAAUAUAAAAUAAACUUUGUUUUAUUAUUGUUAUUAUUAAGAAUGUAUACACAAGAACUUGUAAUAAAGAAAUGUAAAGAGAAAUAAUGACUUUCUCGACAUUAUUUGCAACAAAAUCAAUCGAUGAAGUGUAUUUUUUAUCAAAGGCUCCAUGAACUAACAAACCUUCAAUAUUUCUCAAAAUUACGUAAAGCGAAUGGUAAAGGAAACAUUUCCAGUUUAUCAAUAUAUAUUCAAAAAUAACAAGAAAAUGAAUAAAGUUCAAGUAUUUUCAUCUCAAGAUGAAUCUGAAAGCAAUGGAGACAACUUGCAGGGUCAUUGGAAG
Molecule: unclassified non-coding RNA, 1423 nt
Filed under: Centruroides sculpturatus (bark scorpion)
Lineage: Eukaryota; Metazoa; Arthropoda; Arachnida; Scorpiones; Buthidae
Description: neural Wiskott-Aldrich syndrome protein-like, transcript variant X3
Source: RNAcentral